RNAcentral lists this transfer RNA (76 nucleotides) under Trichonephila inaurata madagascariensis. It matches the Rfam family "tRNA". Rfam says of the family: Transfer RNA (tRNA) molecules are approximately 80 nucleotides in length. Their secondary structure includes four short double-helical elements and three loops (D, anti-codon, and T loops). The record is from Rfam by way of RNAcentral. Lineage: Eukaryota; Metazoa; Arthropoda; Arachnida; Araneae; Nephilidae.
GCCGCUAUAGCUCAGUGGCUAGAGCGUUGGUCUCGUAAACCAAAAGGUCGCAAAGUUCGGAAUCUUGUUGGCGGCA